Molecule: ribosomal RNA, 253 nt
Filed under: uncultured bacterium
Lineage: Bacteria
Description: partial 16S ribosomal RNA
Rfam family: Bacterial small subunit ribosomal RNA
Source: RNAcentral
UACAGAGGGUGCGAGCGUUAAUCGGCCUUACUGGGCGUAAAGCGCACGUAGGUGGCGACGUAAGUCGGGUGUGAAAGCCCCGGGCUCAACCUGGGAAUUGCAUUCGAGACUGCAUUGCUGGAGUACGGAAGAGGAGGGCGGAAUUCCCGGUGUAGCGGUGAAAUGCGUAGAUAUCGGGAGGAACAUCAGUGGCGAAGGCAGCCCUCUGGUCCAGUACUGACACUCAAGUGCGAAAGCGUGGGGAGCAAACAGG